AUAAUUCGCCAGUCAUAAUUUUUAGAAUUUUUACGGUUCAGACAUAAUUUAAACGAUCAUUCAGGCGUGAGUCUUUACUGAGCAUCUUCCGCUCUCUUAAAAUGUUCUCCAAAAUAUUAAUUGUAAUCACGAUGAUCGGAAUUUUCUGCAAUUCAUCAUCAGCACGAGUUCUGGGGUGCAAUGACGGCGAGAAUUACUGGUGUCAAUCAGAAUAUACUGCAGUGAUUUGCGGGAAAGAAGAAUAUUGCCGGGAUAAUGAAGCGAGUGAUAUGCUCGCACCAGAAGUCACAUAUAUCGGAAUAAAUCACCAAUAUUCCACCACUGAUCCGUUUUAUCGAUUAGGUGACAUGUUUGAUCGAUAAAUCAUGUAUAAAAGAAUGAUGGAAAUUUUUAUUUCUGUCAGACCUAGAAAAUAUUUGAAUGGCAUAUUUAUUGAAGAUAAUGAAAUGUGAAAAAUAAAAUUGUAUGAAAAAGAAAAGACAGAGAGUGCGAUAAAUUAUUUGGAAAUUAUUCAUGGGGCUGAUAGAUAAGUGGAGAUGAUUAAAAUGUUUAAGGGUGUUGAGACUUUUUGGAUUCUUUUAUAAUUGCUUAAUCGGGGAGUUAGAGUGAUAAUUAUUUUAAUUAGAUUAAUGGACGUCAGACCUUUCUUGAUAUAAUUAUGGUACAAUGGAGAAAUUUUCUGAUUGAGCACUCAUCGAUACAUUUACACCUGUGGCAAUAGUCCGAGCGACAUUUUUUAGGGGAUUUAUAGGUGAAAUCUGGAGUAAAAAUCCAUUUGGAAAUAAAUGUUCAUCAAAAAUCUUUCAGCUCCUCAGAAUGUUCUGUAAAGAAUUUAUUGUAAUUGCGAUUAUCGCAAUUAUUUGCAGUACAUCAUUGGGACGUCCUCUUAACUGCCACGAUGGCGAGAUCUACUGGUGUAAAUCAUUAAGAACUGCAAAGAAAUGUCGAAAAACGAGGUAUUGCGAGCGGAUGUCUAAUCCAGUGGAUGAUGUGCGAAUAGAACGAGCUCCUGCAACAACAGAAUUUAAUAGAUUUUACAUAGGCUCCCGUGGUAUCGAAAGCUUUCCAUUGGGUCUAUAGAUCACUUGAAUUCCAUUCCCUCAAUCUUCAAUGUUUCAUCAAUGUUUAUAAAACCUGAAGACAACAUAUAAGACAAAAUGAAAUAAAAACCUGUGAUGAAUUAUUUUGAGAUGAAGGAGUCCGUCUGAUUAUUAGAUCUCGGGGAUUUUACUUCACAUUAUUCUCUCAUUAUUCUCCCAAAAACGAUUACUCAAUUAUAAAAUUAAUACGAUUACAAUGGAGAAUGAGAGCUCGAUGG
Fopius arisanus is the source of this 1318-nucleotide long non-coding RNA. RefSeq lists it as uncharacterized. NCBI's taxonomy places the organism in Eukaryota, Metazoa, Arthropoda, Insecta, Hymenoptera, Braconidae. The transcript is spliced from 5 exons. The record is from RefSeq and is a predicted model, not a curated record.